Molecule: ribosomal RNA, 253 nt
Filed under: uncultured Eubacteriales bacterium
Lineage: Bacteria; Bacillati; Bacillota; Clostridia; Eubacteriales
Description: uncultured Clostridiales bacterium partial 16S ribosomal RNA
Rfam family: Bacterial small subunit ribosomal RNA
Source: RNAcentral
UACGUAGGAGGCAAGCGUUAUCCGGAAUGACUGGGCGUAAAGGGUGCGUAGGUGGUUUGACAAGUUAGUAGCGUAAUUCCGGGGCUCAACUUCGGAACUACUACUAAAACUGUUGGGCUUGAGUGCAGAAGAGGAGAGUGGAACUCCAUGUGUAGCGGUGAAAUGCGUAGAUAUAUGGAAGAACACCAGUGGCGAAAGCGGCUCUCUGGUCUGUAACUGACGCUGAGGUUCGAAAGCGUGGGUAUCGAACAGG